UUACGGCCAUAUCACGUUGAAACACCGGUUCCCGUACGAUCACCGAAGUUGAGCAACGUCAUUACCUAGAAUGGUGACCGCUUGGGAAUACCAGGUGCUGUAAG
Molecule: non-coding RNA, 104 nt
Organism: Acanthosepion pharaonis
Lineage: Eukaryota; Metazoa; Mollusca; Cephalopoda; Sepiida; Sepiidae
Source: the annotation of a GenBank genome assembly